RNA transcript from Halichondria panicea, 8159 nucleotides. RefSeq lists it as uncharacterized. The transcript is spliced from 10 exons. The record is from RefSeq and is a predicted model, not a curated record. Lineage: Eukaryota; Metazoa; Porifera; Demospongiae; Suberitida; Halichondriidae.
ACUUUGUUCCAAAGACUACCCCUUUCCCUCUUAAUCACUUUAGCCACGAUCGCGCUCAUUAGAUCCAAGAACUUAAUUAAAGAAGAUCAUAGAGAUGGCAUUGACUGCAAACCACGUUAGAGUUGAGCAGCACGGCGAUGCCAUGAUGGGAGAGUACACACAGUUUGUGUACGACAAGGAGACUGGUAUGGCGGGCCAGAAGAAGACUGUGGUUGCACAGGUUCCUGUGGAGGGAGGUGGACAUGCCAUUCUCGUUACAGAGCAAGUGCAAGUCACACAAGUGAGUCCUCCGAGUUAUACUCCACGCACUAAUCAAGCCUUGCAGAACAAUGUCAAUGGGAGCCCAUCUGAUGACCCUGAUACCAACAAUAGAGUCUGCAAAUCAUGCAGCUGGCUUUCAUGCAGUUGCUUCAUCUUGUUGAUGAGCCUUGGAAUGAUCAUCCCUAUAGCUGCUGUUGGUUUGCUGUCAUGUGCCCCCCUGUCAGGUGCUGCGAGCAGUGGGCUGGUUCUGGGUUCUAUAACUUUCAUUAUAUCCAUCCUCUGCUGUGCCCACUGCUUGAACAUGAAGAGCCCUACCGUGUGAUGCUUGUGUUGCUCAGCUGUGACACUCCUAACCCUUGCAUUUUUGGCCACUCUGAUUGCAAACACUGUAUUUGUGGCUAACUUCAUCAACAAUCCAGCUGGGAUUUGCUCUUCCACUGAAGUAGCUCCAGCUGUUAUGGGUUUGUCUUGGAUUCUGCUACCAUUGUUUGGGCUUUUCUGUUUGUGCUCUACUUUUAUUUGCGUGGACAAGCCUAUUAGUGAUGCAAACAAUGUUGCCUAGUUCUAAAGUUUAGUUUUGUGUGUGGUAGCUCAUACGGUGACAUUUUUAGUUGUGUCUUUAAACUUUUUACGUAUUAAUUUUGCUUGCUUAGUUACUGAUCUUUACCUAUUUUUUAGUAACUGCACACGCGCCUUGAUCUAUAAUUACUACUCUACCGCUAUACAUGCUAGCCACGUCUUGUGAGCGCGGCAUAAAAAUCUAAAACACAUUGGAUUGUGCUCACUAGAUUCAAGAACUUAAUUAGAGAAGAUCACAGAGAUGGCAUUGACUGUAAACCACGUUAGAGUUGUGCAGCAUGGCGAUGCUGUGAUGGGAGAGCGCACACAGCUUAUGUACGACGAGGAGACUGGUAUGGCGGGCCAGAAGAAGACUGUGGUUGCACAGGUUCCUAUAGAUGGAGGUGGACAUACCAUUCUUGUUACAGAGCAAGUGCAAGUCACACAAGUGUGCAGGGUCCUCCAAGUUACACUCCAUGCAGUGAUCGAGCCUUGCAGCACCACGUAAAUGGGAGCCCAUCUGAUGACCCUGAUGUCAAUUGUAGAGUGUGCAAAUCAUGCAGCUGCAUGGCUUUUGUGCAGUUGCUUCAUCUUCUUGAUGAGCCUUGCGAUAAUCAUCCCUAUAGCUGCUGUUGGUUUGUUGUCAUGUGCCCCUAUAUCAAGUGCUGCCAUCAGUGGGCUGGUUCUGGGUUCUAUAACUUUCAUUAUGUCCAUCCUCUGCUGUGCACACUGCUGGAACACAAAGAGCCCCACUGUGCAAUGCUUGUGUUGCUCAGCUGUGUCACUCCUAACCCUUGCAUUUUUGCACUUUGAUUGCAAACACUGUAUUUGUGGCACUGGAUAUUAACUUUAUCAACGACCCAGCUGGGAUUUGCUCUUCCACUGAAGUAGCUCCAGCUGUUAUGGGUUUGUCUUGGAUUCUGCUACCAAUAUUUGGGCUCUUCUGUUUGUGCUCUACUUAUAUUUGCGUGGAGAAGAGUUAGUGUUGUAUUAAUGAUGCAAACAAUGUUUCCUAGUUUGAAAUUUCAGUUUUAUGUGUGGUACAUGUACAUCUAGCUCAUACGGUGACAUCUUUACGCUUUGUUAUGUCAUAGAUUGAAGAAGUAUAGGAUAGACUACACCUAAGAGUAGAAUAUGCGUCUAUGUAACCUCCGCGGUUGCGGUUAGCCCGAGGCGCAAAGCCGAGGGAAUCUAACCGUAACCAAGGUGGUUACUAAGACGCAUAUUCUACGAGUGGGUGUGGUCUAUCUAACUUGGACUUCAUUGCGCAUGCGCGAGGCGUGGUUAUAAAAAGCCAGGUUUGGUGCUUAGCAACAGAAAUUGAAUUUGUGCGAGCUGGACGAGCUGGAGAGCUGUGAGAGACACCAGUUGACAGAAAAAGAUAAGAAGACGGCUUCAAAACAAUGAAAAACUUAGUAAAGCUUGUGAAACGCUUCUUGAAGAUACUGGAAAGAACAGACAAGUAAAAAGAACCUAGAACUAUGCUAGAACUGACUGCAACACUACAAGAAGAAGAAUGAAGCUCUGUGGUGGAGUGGAGGGGGUAUAGAGCAGACUGGACCGGCAUGGAACCUUAAAAAACUCAAUAGAAAGUGUCAAGCGACUGCUAAAGUGUUUUUGAUGCUUCCUGGCCCCCCUUGCCCAUGCCCAACUGGAAAAAGCAAUACAAAGCAACAGUGGACAUGGAAAGAAUGGAUAUUGACUGAACAAACUAUUGCAUUCUGUGUUUUUAUAAUGUUUUUGUCAUCUUGUCACUUUCACUAAAAAUUUCAUUUCAACUUUUGAGAACUUCUUGCAAAUUAUUUGUCACUUCCUGUAGAAUAUGCGUCCAUUUCCUGUAGAAUAUGUGUCCACUUCCUGUAGAAUAUGCGCCCAUUUCCUGUAGAAUAAGUACUUUCUUGUAGAUUAUGCUUCCAUGUAAUCUACUGUUUUUAGCCAAUCAGAUCAAUUACAGAUGAUGUAAUGUAGUCUAAUCUAUGGUUAUGUCAACUAGAUCUAUAAUUAUAACUUAGUAUUUGCUUGCUUAGUGAUCUUUACCUAUUGUUUUAGUAACUGCUCAAUCUCUGAUCACUUAGCAAAAAUCGCCAAAAUUAGUAAUCUGUCCCAAGAGUAUGCCAUUGACUGCAAAUUAUAUUAGAGUUGAGCAGCACGGUGAUACUGUGCUGGGAGAGUGCACAUAAAUUGGGUAUGUCCCGAAGACUGGCAGUGCCAGUGGUACGGUUGUUCAGGAGAAUGCUGUGGUUGCACAGGUUCCUGUGGAGAGAGGCGGUGAUGCUGUGCUGGGAAAGUACACAGAGGGGGAAGUGCAAGCCCUGAUGCGAGAAGUGCAAGCCGUAAUGCGGUAUGUACGUAGAAGUUUAACUGCUGACUGUGGCACCAGCAGAGGCUGCAAACGAUUCUGUAAGUAAUAAUUGUGUUGCUUUGCUAUCACUGCCUAUUUACAGGGCUUUUGUGUGGUUUAUUCACCUCAGUGCUUAGCAUUGCAAUGGCCAUCCCUGGAGGUAAGUUAUAUACAUACAUCAGUUACAUAGAUCAUGCAGUGGCGAAUCCAGGGAGAGAUCCCAGGGUGCCACGGAUCCCCCCUUUCAGUCUAGCUAUUAUGGCUUUAGUGCAGCUACCAGUUAGCUAUUUAUCAGUUUUUGUAGCUAUUGUAGUUUGACUGUACCUGUUGUUUUGAUGUAUCAACUGCCAAAGGAGUGUUAAAAGUCAAUGGUUAGCCUAGGCUAGCUAGUUGACUGUUCGUGGCAGCUAUAUAGCACUACACAAGUCUAUUAUGGGACUUUCUGACUGAAAAUGGGAUUUUGCCUAGUCUUACUGCACAACGUGUGACCGGAAGUGGGAGUAACCCUAAAAAAUUCGCGCUGUGCGCAAUUUUCACUGCUGCGCGUUCAUUACUUUGAAACCCCUUUCAUUUUUCCUGGAUCUGCCACUGUAGAUCAUGCAGUGGUCAUUGGUUAGUCAUGAGCAUUGUUUAGCUACUCAUGACUAAACAAUGUUUUAGUCACUCAUGAAUCGUACCACUAUAACAUACUCAGCACUAUUAUGCACUAUAUAAUAGUGAAUCCAACGGUCUCUAUGGGAUUAUGAGACCCUGAGGGUCUCAUAAUCCCAUAGUGACCGUUGGACGAGGCCUAUAUAACUGAUUUAGAAUAGUGCUAAGCAAGCUAAGCUAUAGAAGACUUUGGAACCAAUAGUUUCUACAAGUCCCAAGCAACAUUAAUUUAAAAGCUUCGCUCUGGCUAAGUCUAUAUACAUAAAAACUCACAUUGAAGGCCAUUUCCGUCUCUUGAGAAUCAUGCAUAGCAAAAACUGCUAAUAGAAAGCUGCUAUUCUACUUAGUAGUUAGCUCUGCACUAGAGCACUAUAGCUAUUGGUAGCUGCAAGAGUGAGAUAAAAGCUGCAAAGCUGCACUGCAAAACACAAAUACUUGAAAAAUGAAAGCACCGCAGGUGCUGUGCCUCGGUGCAUGAGGUGCCAAAGCUACAUGACAUAAAGCUACUAAGCUAGCUUUUAUACACACAUUGAUUAUAAUUUGUAUCAUGAUGAACAUUUAUAAUUUACUGCAGGCAAAAUCCAGAAAAACUCUAAGAGCGGGUCAAAAAUGAUUGUUGUUAAAAAUGAUCGAUACCAAAAGUUCAAGUCUAAAAUUAAUGGCUGCAAGUCAGCAGAGCUUGCAGCUCUCUUCUCACUCUUGCAGCUACCAAUAGCUAGCGUUCUAGUGCAGAGCUAACUACUAAAGUAGAGUAGCAACACUCGGUAAACAAGUUUGGCUACGUGCUCUUUUGAAAAGGCUGCAAUGGCAUUCCAAGUAAGCAAACUAGGCAUAACUCGAGAACGAAGCAUUAUUUUGCAAAUCCACGAAUUAAAGUCCAAGUAAACAUGACUAGAAGCCUAUAGAAACUCUUACUUGCACUUGAUUCAUCCUUGAGCAGCUGUAGCAGUCCACACACACACAGACACAGACACAUAAAUACACUACCGUAUACCUCGCUUGCGCAUGAGCACCAAGGCAUAAAUAUCUCUAAAUGUGCUGAGUCGGCGCUAUUUAUUUUUAUGUCUAGUCAGCAGUUUAGUUGUACACAAGAUAUCAAGAGCUAGAGGUGAGCAGUAAAAGAUCCAGAGGAUCACCUACAUGCCAGACUCCUGUUCAAUCCAGGUAGAGAAGCUUUAUCUCUGUAGAUCUAGUGCUUAGGCUAGGAGAAAUCGUAGUAGAGAUUUAAAUCGUAAGCAGAUGCAGUGAUCGUCAGACUGCUCAUUUCCUUGAUGACCAGUAGCUAUCUGUGAAACUGCUGACAAGACACAAAAAUAGCGCCGACUCAGCACAUUUAUAUUGAUAUUUUUGCACGUGAUCUCAACUUCCUUCCAACCUCCUCUGGCACUUGCAUCAUGGUUACUAUGACUUCAACAUACAUUUCCAUAGGCAAGUACAUAAUAUAAUAUAAUGAACCUCUGUAUAGAAGACCACUGAGGUCUCUAAGUGAAAUAAGGGACCUCUCAGUAACCACCAUUUGUGACAAGCUUUUUCUAAUAUUAUUUUUGCAGGACUUCGUUUGUGGGGUUGUGCCCCCCUAGUAGGGGUUACAGCCUGUGGAGUGGUUCUUUCAAUCUUUUUGUCCAUCCUCUGCUGUUUAUACUACAUCUGUUUGAAGAUAAACUCAACUGUGCAAGGCUGUUGUUGUUCUGUUGUAUCAUUUCUAAACAUUAUAUUUUUGGUUAUUCUGAUACUAGGAACUGUGUUUGUGGCACAGAAUAUUGAUUUCAUCAACAAUCCAGAUGGCAGCAGAGUCUGUUCUCUGGCUAAAUCAGUUCUGGUUGUUACGGGUUCGUCGUACAUUCUGCUACCGAUAUUCGGUUUCUUCAAUGUUUUUGUGAUCCGCUCAUAUUUGCUUGCCAGAACCAGAAAUACUGCAGCUGCAAACAAUACUGUGUGAAUCAUAAUUAUAUAGUAUUGUGUAUUGGGAGCCCAUAAUUAUUAUAUAUAAGUUAGUUCUGUUAAGACUGUGUGCUUCGUAGAACAUUCAAACACUCAUUAUAUCAUAUAGUUAUGACUUCAAUACAAACAUGUCAAUGGAUAAUACUGGUACAAUGUGCAGCAGGUGUGUGUAGUAGCCUCGAUCCCAGGCCGAGAAAACUUGCCUGGGAUCGAGUCUAGUGUGUGUACCUGACGAUUGAACUGAAUUAAUUUGUACCAUGCACAGUAUCGUAGGUAUAUAAGAUAUGAGAUAUGAUUAUGAUUAUACGUAAUGUUGUCUGAACACGUUAAAAUCAUGAGUCCAAUGUUACGACAAUCCUCUUUCUGUUGUAGUACUCUGCAUUAAUUGAGACUUAAUUGAGUAUCUAUUUGGUCAGCUCUAAAUAUUGUAGCCUUAAUUCUUCGCAAUUAAAUUCUGGAUCUCUUCUCUCCAGCUGAUUCGUCUGGGGCGCGAUAGCUCAACCAAUUUCUGUUAUGAUUAUGAAGAAGAUGAAGCCAGUAUAGUGGUGUAUAAACCAUGCAGGGGUGCGAGGGAGAACUCAGAUUGACUGUGUGAAAUACUGAAUUGCUUGUCUUUUAGAACUAUAUAGGUAGAACUGAAAUCAUUGGCUGUUGUUGUCUCAAAAUUUUUUACAUGUGUAGGCACAAGAUAACAACAAGAUAAACUGCUGGUAAAUCGGCUGGUGCUGGUGUGAGUCCUGUGAGUGGGAACAGUAUUACAGUGGAACCCUCUAUAACGGACACCUUUGGGGAACAAUGUUUUGGCCUUUAUACAGAGGUGGCCUUUGUUGAGAGGUUGUUUUGUACACAAACUGUUCAUUUGGGACCUGGGUGCCUGGCCGUUAUAUAGCAACUGGGAGGUAGUUGUUAACAGAGGUUCCACUGUACAUUACAUCAUAAUUAUUUCGAUGACUACAAAAAAUGGAUGUGUUUUCAAACGAGCUGCUUAACAAAGUGUUAGGGCCUCAUUACAGUGAAAACCAGUCUAUAUAAUAUGCAAGUAUAAUAUAGGUUGUACUACAAUACAGCCAGAUUAAUGUUCCUAUAGUCAAGUGCCUCAAAUAUCCAGACACCAGAGCUGAGAAAAUUUAUUGAAUAUAUCAUUAUGCUCAGCUUAGGGAUCUUUACCCAUUAUAAAUAAUUGGAGGAUGACUACAGCGAUGAGCGAUGAGCGCACACAGCUUAUGCGUGGCACUAAAUGCAUGCUAAGUCAGCACAUUUUCUCAUUUGAGACGGAAAAGAAAGCCUGGUGCGAAUGUUUUAUCGAGGCCACUUCUGUUUCCAAUCCCUCUUUUCCUGGUUAUAAUGCUCAGCUUAGUUUUCUUAUGCUUAGCCCUAGAGGGGCACAAUCAGCUAAACCAGCAUAUUUAACAGGAUUAUUUUAUGGGAAAGGUCGUCAUUAUAACAAACUGUUUACGUUGGGCUCACAAGACUAUGAUUAAAAAUUUGUAUAUAGUCAGUCGUGAGCGACAACUACGUCGCGCUCGGAUAGAUCCAAGAAAAUCAUAGAGAUGGCAUUGACUGCAAACCAUGUUAGAAUUGAGCAGCACGGCGAUGCUAUGAUGGGAGAGCGCACACAGCUUGUGUACGACGAGGAGACUGGUAUGGUGGGCCAGAAGAAGACUGUGGUUGCACAGGUUCCUAUAGAGGGAGGUGGACAUGCCAUUCUCGUUACAGAGCAAGUGCAAGUCGCACAAGUGGGUCCUCCAAGUUACACUCCACGCAAUCGAGCCCUGCAGUAUAACGUAAAUGGGAGCCCAUCUGAUGACCAUGGCACCUACAGAGGCUUUAUAUUAUGCAGCUGCAGUUGUUUCAUCUUCUUGAUGAGCCUUGCAAUAAUCAUCCCUAUAGCUGCUGUUGGUUUGCCAGCAUGUGUCCCCCUAUCAGGUGCUGCGAGCAGUGGGCUGGUUUUGGGAGCCAUAACUCUUAUUAUGUCCAUCUUCUGCUGUGCCCACUGCUUGAACAUAAAGAGCCCCACUGUGCAAUGCCUGUGUUGCUCAUCUGUGUCCCUCCUGACCCUUGUAUUUUUGGUCACUCUAAUUCCAAACACUGUUUUUGUGGCCCAGAAUAUCGGCUUCAUCAACAAUCCAGCUGGGCUUUGCUCCUCCCCUGAAGUAGCUCUGGCUGUUAUGGGUUUGUCUUGGAUUCUGCUACCGAUGUUUGGACUCUUCUGUUUGUGCUCUACUUAUAUUUGCAUGUGCAAAUCUAGUAAUGCAGACAAUGUUGAGUGAUUUAUUAUAUCUAUGUUGGAAAACUGAACUGAAUUAACUAUAUAGUAGUUUUGUAUGUACAUGUUAGCUCAUAAUUAGGGUUGAGUGUGUCCUGUUAGGAGUCCUUGGGACAAUUGAAAACUAAAAUUGAUAUUGUA